RNAcentral lists this ribosomal RNA (1452 nucleotides) under uncultured bacterium. RNAcentral describes it as "partial 16S ribosomal RNA". It matches the Rfam family "Bacterial small subunit ribosomal RNA". The record is from RNAcentral.
AGGGUUUGAUCAUGGCUCAGAACGAACGCUGGCGGCAUGCUUCAGACAUGCAAGUCGAACGAGAUCUUCGGAUCUAGUGGCGCACGGGUGAGUAACGCGUGGGAACCUACCUUUCAGUUCGGAAUAACAGUUGGAAACGACUGCUAAUACCGUAUACGCCCUCAGGGGGAAAGGUCAGCCGCUGAAAGAGGGGCCCGCGUCUGAUUAGCUAGUUGGUGGGGUAAAGGCCUACCAAGGCAUCGAUCAGUAGCUGGUCUGAGAGGAUGAUCAGCCACACUGGGACUGAGACACGGCCCAGACUCCUACGGGAGGCAGCAGUGGGGAAUUUUCCGCAAUGGGCGAAAGCCUGACGGAGCAACGCCGCGUGAGGGAUGAAGGCCUCUGGGCUGUAAACCUCUUUUAUCAAGGAAGAAGAUCUGACGGUACUUGAUGAAUAAGCCACGGCUAAUUCCGUGCCAGCAGCCGCGGUAAUACGGGAGUGGCAAGCGUUAUCCGGAAUUAUUGGGCGUAAAGCGUCCGCAGGCGGCCCUUCAAGUCUGCUGUUAAAAAGUGGAGCUUAACUCCAUCAUGGCAGUGGAAACUGUUGGGCUUGAGUGUGGUAGGGGCAGAGGGAAUUCCCGGUGUAGCGGUGAAAUGCGUAGAUAUCGGGAAGAACACCAGUGGCGAAGGCGCUCUGCUGGGCCAUCACUGACGCUCAUGGACGAAAGCCAGGGGAGCGAAAGGGAUUAGAUACCCCUGUAGUCCUGGCCGUAAACGAUGAACACUAGGUGUCGGGGGAAUCGACCCCCUCGGUGUCGUAGCCAACGCGUUAAGUGUUCCGCCUGGGGAGUACGCACGCAAGUGUGAAACUCAAAGGAAUUGACGGGGGCCCGCACAAGCGGUGGAGUAUGUGGUUUAAUUCGAUGCAACGCGAAGAACCUUACCAGGGUUUGACAUCCUGCGAAUCUCUUGGAAACGAGAGAGUGCCUUCGGGAGCGCAGUGACAGGUGGUGCAUGGCUGUCGUCAGCUCGUGUCGUGAGAUGUUGGGUUAAGUCCCGCAACGAGCGCAACCCACGUCUUUAGUUGCCAGCAUUCAGUUGGGCACUCUAGAGAGACCGCCGGUGAUAAACCGGAGGAAGGUGUGGAUGACGUCAAGUCAUCAUGCCCCUUACAUCCUGGGCUACACACGUACUACAAUGCUACGGACAAAGGGCAGCAAGUUCGCGAGGACAAGCAAAUCCCAUAAACCGUGGCUCAGUUCAGAUCGUAGGCUGCAACUCGCCUACGUGAAGGAGGAAUCGCUAGUAAUCGCAGGUCAGCAUACUGCGGUGAAUACGUUCCCGGGCCUUGUACACACCGCCCGUCACACCAUGGAAGUUGGCCACGCCCGAAGCCGUUACUCCAACCCUUGUGGAGGAGGACGUCGAAGGUGGGGCUGAUGACUGGGGUGAAGUCAUAACAAGGUAGCCGUA